RNAcentral lists this ribosomal RNA (245 nucleotides) under uncultured Zavarzinella sp. RNAcentral describes it as "partial 16S ribosomal RNA". It matches the Rfam family "Bacterial small subunit ribosomal RNA", at positions 524 to 768 of the family's 1533-position model. The record is from RNAcentral. Lineage: Bacteria; Pseudomonadati; Planctomycetota; Planctomycetia; Gemmatales; Gemmataceae.
GACGAACCGUGCGAACGUUGUUCGGAAUCACUGGGCUUAAAGGGCGCGUAGGCGGGCGUGCAAGUCUGUGGUGAAGGCCUCCAGCUUAACUGGAGAAGUGCCGUGGAUACUGCACAUCUUGAGGAGGGUAGGGGCAUCUGGAACGGUCGGUGGAGCGGUGAAAUGCGUUGAUAUCGACCGGAACUCCGGUGGCGAAGGCGAGGUGCUGGACCCUUUCUGACGCUGAGGCGCGAAAGCCAGGGGAG